GAAGUUGAUUCCUUGUCGUCCUGGGCAAUAGAAUGUAUGAUCUCGAUAGAUAUUACGAGAGUUGCUCAUUUGCUUCCGACUGUGCCGAUCUUAUAUCUCUUUUUGAAAGACCUUAGAAGUGGCCAAAUUUUUUAGCUGAGAUGGCGACAUUUGGUUCCCUUCUUUGUUUUUUUUCUUUCUUUUAGUAUUACUUUUCUUUCCAGCCGUUUUAAUGUGCGGACCGAUAGUCUUGCAAAAAAGGCACAAGCUCAUAAUAGUCUUUUUUCAUGUAAGCACGUCGGUUCCUAAAUGGUUCUCUUUAGAAGAGAGUUUCUUUCCGAUUACUUAAUAGAAAUGGAGUUCGACGAAAAAAAAAGAUUAUAUAUAACGUAGGAUUCUAUCACUUUGAAAUCCAAGUUUCUACGAUAUAGAAACUCAAUGAAAUCCACUUUAGAUUAUAUAUAUAUAUAUA
This 451-nucleotide small RNA is filed under the name Arabidopsis thaliana (thale cress). RNAcentral's name for it is "ATSL099810". The record is from RNAcentral. Lineage: Eukaryota; Viridiplantae; Streptophyta; Magnoliopsida; Brassicales; Brassicaceae.